Molecule: ribosomal RNA, 913 nt
Filed under: Staphylococcus aureus
Lineage: Bacteria; Bacillati; Bacillota; Bacilli; Caryophanales; Staphylococcaceae
Description: partial 23S ribosomal RNA
Rfam family: Bacterial large subunit ribosomal RNA
Source: RNAcentral
GGUGAAAAGCACCCCGGAAGGGGAGUGAAAUAGAACCUGAAACCGUGUGCUUACAAGUAGUCAGAGCCCGUUAAUGGGUGAUGGCGUGCCUUUUGUAGAAUGAACCGGCGAGUUACGAUUUGAUGCAAGGUUAAGCAGUAAAUGUGGAGCCGUAGCGAAAGCGAGUCUGAAUAGGGCGUUUAGUAUUUGGUCGUAGACCCGAAACCAGGUGAUCUACCCUUGGUCAGGUUGAAGUUCAGGUAACACUGAAUGGAGGACCGAACCGACUUACGUUGAAAAGUGAGCGGAUGAACUGAGGGUAGCGGAGAAAUUCCAAUCGAACCUGGAGAUAGCUGGUUCUCUCCGAAAUAGCUUUAGGGCUAGCCUCAAGUGAUGAUUAUUGGAGGUAGAGCACUGUUUGGACGAGGGGCCCCUCUCGGGUUACCGAAUUCAGACAAACUCCGAAUGCCAAUUAAUUUAACUUGGGAGUCAGAACAUGGGUGAUAAGGUCCGUGUUCGAAAGGGAAACAGCCCAGACCACCAGCUAAGGUCCCAAAAUAUAUGUUAAGUGGAAAAGGAUGUGGCGUUGCCCAGACAACUAGGAUGUUGGCUUAGAAGCAGCCAUCAUUUAAAGAGUGCGUAAUAGCUCACUAGUCGAGUGACACUGCGCCGAAAAUGUACCGGGGCUAAACAUAUUACCGAAGCUGUGGAUUGUCCUUUGGACAAUGGUAGGAGAGCGUUCUAAGGGCGUUGAAGCAUGAUCGUAAGGACAUGUGGAGCGCUUAGAAGUGAGAAUGCCGGUGUGAGUAGCGAAAGACGGGUGAGAAUCCCGUCCACCGAUUGACUAAGGUUUCCAGAGGAAGGCUCGUCCGCUCUGGGUUAGUCGGGUCCUAAGCUGAGGCCGACAGGCGUAGGCGAUGGAUAACAGGUUGAU